Molecule: ribosomal RNA, 253 nt
Filed under: uncultured bacterium
Lineage: Bacteria
Description: partial 16S ribosomal RNA
Rfam family: Bacterial small subunit ribosomal RNA
Source: RNAcentral
GACGAACCGUCCGAACGUUAUUCGGAAUCACUGGGCUUAAAGGGUGCGUAGGCGGCGCGGAAAGUUGGGUGUGAAAUCCCUCGGCUCAACCGAGGAACUGCGCCCAAUACUACCGUGCUCGAGGGAGAUAGAGGUGAGCGGAACUUAGGGUGGAGCGGUGAAAUGCGUUGAUAUCCUAAGGAACACCGGUGGCGAAAGCGGCUCACUGGAACGCAACUGACGCUGAGACGCGAAAGCGUGGGGAGCAAACAGG